This 725-nucleotide ribosomal RNA is filed under the name Vicia ciceroidea. RNAcentral's name for it is "eukaryotic LSU rRNA". The stretch from base 278 to 433 matches the Rfam family "5.8S ribosomal RNA". Lineage: Eukaryota; Viridiplantae; Streptophyta; Magnoliopsida; Fabales; Fabaceae. The record is from RNAcentral.
AAGGUUUCCGUAGGUGAACCUGCGGAAGGAUCAUUGUCGAUGCCUUACAUGGAGUCCAACACGUGAAUCAGUUCGAACACAUACGGUGGACUUGAGGUGUUCCACACCUCGGCCCACCUCUGGUUCGGAGGCGGGCGACGAAGUGCGUUCUCCUCCGAGCCAAAACUCAAACCCCGGCGCCGAAUGCGUCAAGGAAUUAAAAUUUUGCUCUGAGCGCACCUUCAUGGCACCGGAGACGGUUUUCGUGCGGGUUGUGUUUUGACACUUGAUAUAGAAUGACUCUCGGCAACGGAUAUCUAGGCUCUUGCAUCGAUGAAGAACGUAGCGAAAUGCGAUACUUGGUGUGAAUUGCAGAAUCCCGUGAACCAUCGAGUCUUUGAACGCAAGUUGCGCCCGAUGCCAUUAGGUUGAGGGCACGUCUGCCUGGGUGUCACAUAUCGAAGCCUCCUGCCAAUUUCCCUAUGACUAUUGUGCAGGGUGGAUGUUGGCCUCCCGUGAGCUCUUUCGUCUCAUGGUUGGUUGAAAAUUGAGACCUUGGUAGGGUGUGCCAUGAUAGAUGGUGGUUGUGUGACCCACGAGACCAAUCAUGCGCUUCUCUAUUGAAUUUGGCCUCCUUUACCCAUAUGCGUUUCUAAACGCUCGUGAUGAGACCUCAGGUCAGGCGGGGCUACCCGCUGAAUUUAAGCAUAUCAAUAAGCGGAGGAAAAGAAACUAACAAGGAUUCC